Molecule: ribosomal RNA, 373 nt
Filed under: uncultured organism
Description: partial 16S ribosomal RNA
Rfam family: Bacterial small subunit ribosomal RNA
Source: RNAcentral
GUAGGUGGCAAGCGUUGUCCGGAAUUAUUGGGCGUAAAGCGCGCGCAGGCGGUUCUUUAAGUCUGAUGUGAAAGCCCACGGCUCAACCGUGGAGGGUCAUUGGAAACUGGAGAACUUGAGUACAGAAGAGGAAAGCGGAAUUCCACGUGUAGCGGUGAAAUGCGUAGAGAUGUGGAGGAACACCAGUGGCGAAGGCGGCUUUCUGGUCUGUAACUGACGCUGAGGCGCGAAAGCGUGGGGAGCAAACAGGAUUAGAUACCCUGGUAGUCCACGCCGUAAACGAUGAGUGCUAAGUGUUAGGGGGGUUUCCGCCCCCCUUAGCGCUGCAGCUAACGCAUUAAGCACUCCGCCUGGGAGUACGGCCGCAAGGCUG